Oreochromis aureus is the source of this 2876-nucleotide long non-coding RNA. The record is from Ensembl. NCBI's taxonomy places the organism in Eukaryota, Metazoa, Chordata, Actinopteri, Cichliformes, Cichlidae.
AAGAGAAGGCUUUUUUCGUGUUUGUUGACCAUCUGUCAGGGUGCCAUGGAAACCUUGGGUGUUGGUGCUUGUAGCCACAUAUGUCUAGAGGCAACUGUUUGGCGAACACACAUGACACAGCUUCCCUAUCUCGUCUUAUCCAACCUCAAACCAGGUGCUCGCACAACUGUUCAACAACAAUAAUCCCAAACAGGAAAUGUUGACAGUAAGAUGUCAUUGUCUCUCUUGGUCUGUGAAAAUGUUUUGGUUUUGUCAGCCAAUAAAUCAGUGAAUGGGAAGGUGAAAAAAAUGGAGGCAAAAGUAGCUCUGUAAAUGCCAAAACAAAUUCCAAAUCUGAAAUCUGCUUGUCUUCUCAUGAUCCAGAUUUUAUGUAAAAAGACAGACUUUUACAUUUACUUUACAAUAAAGGAUCUUAAAUUGCUCUAACUCAGUAAAAGGUCAAAGCAAAGUGCUCCAAAUCACUGAAAAAAGGUUUUUAUACAAAUAUUAUAACAAAAGAAAAAUGAAUUACAAAAACAUAUAUCCCACAUUUUAUCAAACCACCAACUAAAUGCAUACAUGGACUUAAAUAGCUCAUUAAAUAACACAUUUUAGUUCAUUUAAGAGGUGCCGUUGCCACAAAUCAUUUUCUACUUUGCAGGAUAUUGCUGUUACAUGGAACAUUCCAAUUUUUUUCGAAUGUUGCUUUGUUACAUUUCUGUUGGAAAGAGAUCUGAUGAUUGUGGAGGCUGUUUGUACAGGAUAUCAGAUGAUUGGAUCUUUGCGACCACAGUGUGGUCUUCUGCUGCUGUAGCCCAUCUGUUUCAAAGUUCAGUAUGUUGUGUUCUCAGAGAUGCUCUUCUGCAUACCUUGGUUGUAAUGACUGGUUAUUUGAGCUACUGUUGGCUUCGUAUCAAUUUAAAGCAGUGUGGCCAGUCUCCUCUCCUCUCAUCUGUCUACAAGCCUAAAUAAAUUGCUACAAUGUGAUUGGCUGGUUAGAAAGUUAGGUUAACAGGUAGUUUAGGAGAUGUAAUGACUAUGAUGGCGAGUGAGUGUAAAUUAAUGAGGUGCUUUUUGUGUUGUUUUCUAAUCUAAAUGGACUAAAACAGUCAGCUGUGCUUUCAUCUAAGAAGAUUUUAGCCAAAAAUCUUGGAAAUUCUGAGUGGAUUUCUUUAUACUGUAACUCGUACCAACACAGGUUCCAGAAAACAGAAGAAAAUGCAUGCACAUCCACUGAAAAAAUGGGGCAGAUGCAGUGGUGAAAUUCAGUCAACACUGUACAUGAAAAAGACCAAGAUGUUGCACACUGCAGGACUCAACUUUUACCUAACAUUUCAAGCAAACCUGUUCUUCAUAACAAAGCACUGCAUUGUGCAUUAGCUAGCUGAUAAUAACUUAGAUUGAUGUCACCCAUGUUUAGAGGAUUACAGUUUUAAAGCCUUUAAUUUAUUUAUUUUUUGGCUAGCUCUGUAAUCUGUAUCAAUAUAAAUAUAUUACAUGAGAUAACAUAAAAUAUACUUCGUGAAAAGCAAACACUGAUUCCUCUCAAUGUUUUUUAUUACAACAUGCCCAAUCUGGAGAAAAAAUUAAGGCUCAGGCAAUCUUCUCAUCCUUUCUUGGCAGAGUAGCUGCAAAUCUCCAUGGAUACCAUUACUGAAAUAUGGGUGAGUCUUUUCACCUACUGGACAACUGGCCAACAAAUUUAGCCGAGAUGGGGAUUGUACCUGAAUAAUUUUUUCAAUGUAAGUCUAAAGUUUCCUCAAAAGACAGAAAGAAAGUAGGGUCACAAUGUCUUUGGCAAGGGCAGAGCAGCUGUCUGAAAUGACAUCUCCUCCAAACAAACCAAGAAAAAGAGUUUAUGACUGUGCAUCACAACCAGAUACAGAAGUGAUGCCUCAGUUUUGCCAAAACAUCUAAAAAUGAAAAGAAAAAAAAAGAAGUGGGCAAAUUCCAGAAUAAUUUUAAGCGCUCCUGACUCCACUGCAAGUCAGCCGACAAAUUUAUCCCUCAUUAAUGAUAAUAAUACCCUUUUAGGGCUAUUUUCAGCCAGUGGUGGUUGCCAUCAGAUACAUUUUUAGCCUGUUUAAAUGCUCUGUGCUUUUUCCAACUCAGUUUCAGAGGGAAAAUAGAUGCUGGUUAGAGAGACCUCAGACCGCAGCAUGGAACUACGUCAGGCCCAUUAAAACACCAGAAGUUCACUAAGUAUAGGGAGCGAUCCUCAGGUCGCAUGCCGUUCCCCUCUCUCCUUUUCGCUCUUAAUGUGUGAUUAUGAGUGUGUGGUGGUUAUGAAGUCCAGGUUCAUUUGUCAAGUUAGCAGGAAGCCUAAAAUUUAGUGGAGCGAUCUAAAAUAUAGGGCUGUAGUACUCAGGUUGUGCUUAGCUGAACCCCCAGGAUAUUACAUUUCUUAAUUAACUUACAGAUUAAAAUCCAGUGUCGAAGGAAAGGUAAACACCUUCAACCCGUGCCGAGGAAAAAGUUGGUAGUUUUCCCCACACCAGGGAGCGGGAUGUCCUCACCCAGCUAUGGUGCACUGCACACUUUAAAGCACCAGUCUUACCACCAGUUUUCAUUUCAGUGUUACAUGUUUAAAAUCAGAGCUUAGCCACAAACACCAGCCUAUCUGAGCAUGAAAUCUACACUUUUAUUUACUAUAAAAGUCACGGUGAUAUUUACACUGUCAGGGUUACGGGAUGUUAAAGGCCAAUUUUGGUAACGCUCACUUCACAAGACUUGUUUUCAAAAUGUCAACACUGAUAUUGAGAUCGUAACGGUUAUGAUGAUGCGUGCUGAUCUGGAGCUGGUCUUUUCUGUUAUACAAGCACAGUUUCUUUGUUUUGUAGUGACUACAGCAGAGCAAAAUGAGAACAAUUUUAAUUGGUUCACUCAUUUCUUUACUU